AACGAACGCUGGCGGCAGGCCUAACACAUGCAAGUCGAACGCUCCGCAAGGGGAGUGGCGCACGGGUGAGUAACACGUGGGAACCUACCUUCUGGUACGGAACAACCAAGGGAAACUUUGGCUAAGACCGUAUACGACCUCCGGGUGAAAGAUUGAUCGCCGGAAGAGGGGCCCGCGUCCGAUUAGGGUAGUUGGUGAGGUAACGGCUCACCAAGCCUUCGAUCGGUAGCUGGUCUGAGAGGAUGACCAGCCACACUGGGACUGAGACACGGCCCAGACUCCUACGGGAGGCAGCAGUGGGGAAUAUUGGACAAUGGGCGCAAGCCUGAUCCAGCCAUGCCGCGUGAGUGAUGAA
Molecule: ribosomal RNA, 355 nt
Filed under: uncultured bacterium
Lineage: Bacteria
Description: bacterial SSU rRNA
Rfam family: Bacterial small subunit ribosomal RNA
Source: RNAcentral